This 477-nucleotide ribosomal RNA is filed under the name Cellulomonas hominis. RNAcentral describes it as "bacterial SSU rRNA". It matches the Rfam family "Bacterial small subunit ribosomal RNA", at positions 376 to 862 of the family's 1533-position model. The record is from RNAcentral. Lineage: Bacteria; Bacillati; Actinomycetota; Actinomycetes; Micrococcales; Cellulomonadaceae.
GCGCAUCCUGAUGCAGCGACGCCGCGUGAGGGAUGAAGGCCUUCGGGUUGUAAACCUCUUUCAGCAGGGAAGAAGCGCAAGUGACGGUACCUGCAGAAGAAGCGCCGGCUAACUACGUGCCAGCAGCCGCGGUAAUACGUAGGGCGCAAGCGUUGUCCGGAAUUAUUGGGCGUAAAGAGCUCGUAGGCGGUUUGUCGCGUCUGCUGUGAAAACUCGAGGCUCAACCUCGGGCUUGCAGUGGGUACGGGCAGACUAGAGUGCGGUAGGGGAGACUGGAAUUCCUGGUGUAGCGGUGGAAUGCGCAGAUAUCAGGAGGAACACCGAUGGCGAAGGCAGGUCUCUGGGCCGCAACUGACGCUGAGGAGCGAAAGCAUGGGGAGCGAACAGGAUUAGAUACCCUGGUAGUCCAUGCCGUAAACGUUGGGCACUAGGUGUGGGGCUCAUUCCACGAGUUCCGUGCCGCAACNAAACGCAUUA